AUUACAAACAAAAAGGUAUUGACGUUUUAAUUUUAAAACUUGCUUUUUCAAUAAACGGUGAACGAUGUGCAUUUAAAAUCUAAACAAAAAUAUUUUUUCCCAUACCUGUUAUUUUGUUUUAUUUUUUGAAACAAAAAAAACUGUAAUUAAUCAACUGUCUGAUAAAUAAACGAAGAAAAGCCAUCGGGGACUCAAAAAUAUAAGUUAUCAAUUACAUUUGCAUUGUACGUUUAACAGCAUUCUAUGAUUGAAUUUUAUAAAAGGUAUGCUAAGACAAUAGAAUAUUGCAACAAUGUU
Non-coding RNA from Schizosaccharomyces pombe (fission yeast), 297 nucleotides. NCBI's taxonomy places the organism in Eukaryota, Fungi, Ascomycota, Schizosaccharomycetes, Schizosaccharomycetales, Schizosaccharomycetaceae. The record is from the annotation of a GenBank genome assembly.